This 243-nucleotide unclassified non-coding RNA is filed under the name Rhexocercosporidium panacis. Its description in RNAcentral is "sequence contains 5.8S rRNA gene". The stretch from base 1 to 53 matches the Rfam family "5.8S ribosomal RNA", at positions 102 to 154 of the family's 154-position model. The record is from RNAcentral. Lineage: Eukaryota; Fungi; Ascomycota; Leotiomycetes; Helotiales.
GAACGCACAUUGCGCCCUCUGGUAUUCCGGGGGGCAUGCCUGUUCGAGCGUCAUUAUAACCACUCAAGCUCACGCUUGGUCUUGGGGUUCGCGGUUCCGCGGCCCCUAAAAUCAGUAGCGGUGCCUGUCGGCUCUACGCGUAGUAAUACUCCUCGCGAUUGAGUCCGGUGGGAUACUUGCCAGCAACCCCCAAUUUUUUACAGGUUGACCUCGGAUCAGGUAGGGAUACCCGCUGAACUUAAG